UUUUAGGGCCAUACCUGCUGGCAUAGGGAAGUUCCCAGGCUAGGGGUUGAAUUGGAGCUGCAGCUGCCAGCCUACACCACAGCCACAGCAACACGGGAACCAAGCCACAUCUGCAACCUACACCACAGCUCAUGGCAACACCAGGUCCUUAACCCACUGAGCAAGGCCAGGGAUCGAACCGGCAUCCUCAUGGAUACUAGUCAGGCUUAUUACUGCUGAGCCACAACAGGAACUCCCGAGAAAGGAUAUUGGCAAGACAAUUAAGAGUCCUUUUUGAAAACCUCAAUAUCCCCUCUGCUAUUCUAGAUUUACAUGUGACUGGGCAGAAGGAAGGACUUCUCUGAGAAUGCCUUUUCUACUCCAAAGCUGAGAGAGCAAAACCCUGUAGAGAGGGCCUCAGCAUACCGCAUUGUGGACAGAAUACGUUCUUGUGCUUCCCGUUAGUUUUAGGGUAUUAGUCUUAUCAUAACCUAGGGAGCUUACAUACCAGCUGUGAGGCUAGUCCCUAGCAGAAACCCUACAGCUGCUUGUCAACAGGAAAAGAGCACUGUAGAGGCAGUAAGAAUAUCAGGUGGUGUGUCCUAAGUAUGGUAGCUAAUGGCAUAGCUCCAAGCAAAAUUACUUGACCUCACCAAGCCUCUGGUGCCACAUCUGCAAAACAAAAGCGAUGGUCCCCAGGACCCCUGAGUUUACACCUAGGUCUAAGAUUCUGUGAUGCAAAAGUUGGGUCACAGCCUCUCGCCCUGGUGUGGCCCCACCAGCUCUGCAGGCUUGCUUCUCUCCUGACAGGCUGCAGCAUAAGCUGGCCCUCUUGCAGCAACAGUGUGAAGAGAAACACCAGCUCUUCCAGUCCCUCCAGUCAGAGCUACAGAUCUACGAGGCACUUUAUGGAAAUUCCAAGAAGGGGCUGAAAGUUCUGUCUCAGUCACUGGAGAUCUCAAUAAGAAGACAGGGGAGCUCACACACAAAGCACAGGGCUUGGUGACAUGAGCAAGAUCUGCUUAGACAGCCUUAAACAUAGGCCAUGAGAGUCAGAUUUCACCUACCUGGAUGAAAGUCCAGAUCAUGCAAUAAUUUUUUUUUUUUUCACAAAGAAGUGCAAAGAACGGUCCUGGUCAUGUCAUCAUCUGAAAACAUACCGCAUGUCAUGAAUUCUCCACCCAUACAACCAGUAUUGCAGGCAACCUGCUCCCAUCAUGACUCUUCCCCAGUGAUUAAAAAAAAAAAUUAAAUCAUAGAAAUAACAGUAUAGAACCCACAUAUCCAGCCUGGAUUUAAAUUUUAAACCUCUUGUUGAAGACGUUUGCUCCCUCUAGUAUUUGAGAAUCUUGUGAUCCUUCCUCAUUCUUCUUCCAGUGGGAAAAGGCAUUCUAAGCAUUGUUAAGCCAGGCAGGCUGGAGCAGAGGACUAACACCGGUGUGAUGAAAUUUAGCAAAGAUUUAAAAAAACACCCUGACUGUGGUUUAAAAAAUCAGUGUAGAUAUACCAGAUGGGGAGACCUGGCUCUGUAGCCCCUCAUGGGCUUGAGGAUGGGAGAGUGAGGUAGAAACGCAUGUACACAAGGAAGCUGUAGGCCAAGAUUGCUAGAAAAGCUAACUUAACCUGAGACCACUGUAGUGUAGCUGUGCUGUCCGUAUGGAGAGACCACGGUAGAAAUAUUGUUAGACUGUGGGACACCAUCUUAUAAAAGGGACAUUGACAAACAAGGGACACAAUAAAGACAGGGACCACAAUGUUGAGGGAACAGAAAUCUCAAACUGGCUGAAGAAACUAAAAUAAUUUAGGCUUGGAAAAGAUCAUAAGAAUAUAAGAACUGCGGGGCACAGUCUUUAAGGCAUUAGCCUGCUGCGGCACCCUUUGCCUGGAAAAGUAAUAAAGCUAUCUUUUUCUCCUUCAAAAAAAAAAAAAAAAAAAA
Molecule: long non-coding RNA, 1915 nt
Filed under: Sus scrofa (pig)
Lineage: Eukaryota; Metazoa; Chordata; Mammalia; Artiodactyla; Suidae
Description: lncRNA (ENSSSCG00000052697.1)
Source: RNAcentral